CUCCUCCUCCUCCUCCUCCCCGCCGGGGUGAAACUCGAGCGCCCCACCCGCGCCUGACCUCCCCGAGCCCCUCCCCGGGCCCCGCCCCUUCCCGGUACAGGACCCCCACCUUCGCUCCUGGGAGCCCCGCUGCACCCCAGGAGUUCCAUUCCAGCCUCCCCAGUGCGAGUGCGGCCGAGCGCUGACUUUUGGGGGCUCCCUCCCCCGUCUCACUGGGUCCCUCUGCGGCUCCCCCGCCCGCUGUCCCGGUUCAGACGUGGCUGCACCCCGGAGGGGGGCGCCGGCCGAGACCUGAGACGUGGCGCUCCCUCUCUGCCGGCCUCGGCUUCAGUGCUUGAAUUUCAGCCACAUCCCUAAGCUGCCAUCUCAGACCAGAGGAACAGGGAGGGGGGCUUUCUGGAAAGAACAUCACCUGGAAGAAAUCAGGACAUGACUGUGGGCCAUGAGUGACCUUCAAAGGAAAGCCGGGUAUCUGUGGUCUUUAAGAUGUGAUCCAUGACAUUUAAAAACUGAAGAAAUGGAAAGAUCAUCUGAUCAGGCCCAUCAGUCUUUUUCCUAAUGCUAAACAUUGGUACAAAGACGUGAAGUUUGAUGUCUCACUAAGAUUGCCUAGGGCUGCUUUAUUGCUCACCUACUUCAAAGUAUUGGGAAAACAUGAUUAUGGGUACAGGUGAUGCUGUGUUGCCCCCAGACAGGUUUCUUUUGUCAGGUUCUUUUGAUGGAUUAGGAACCUACAAGUGGGGAGAUUUUAGGGAAAUAGCCCCUCCACUUGGAUUUCACCAAAACGUCUUUAGGGUUCUCUUACCCCAAGAAACACGCAUUCCUCUUUAGUGUGGCAGCCCACUCUAUUGGCAAAGUUAAGCAGACCAGUUUUACUAAAAAGGAGCCACCCAGAAACUUAGACAGAAAAUACUUGAGGCACAGAUGAGAAUGAGCACAAAUGUGCAUAGCAAGUGCAGUUUCCUGGCCCUUAAACUGAAGGGCCAGGUCAGUCUGCUCCUCCAGGCACAGCCUGGGACCCCAUCAUGUGCCCCACUCUGCAGUCUGAGCUUCCACUCAAGUCCACCAGGGCCUGCCUCACAUAUAUAUACAAGACCCAAUGUCAGAGUCUGCCUCUGCCCAUGUCUGGUCAGAGGGUUGCACUUUGCCACUGCUACAUGUUCCCAGAGGUUGGCACAGCAUGACCUGGACCUCACCUAACCCAGGCAAACUCUGCUCAUCUUCGAGCUCUCUGGAACCCAUUUCUCAAGGGAGAACCACAUUCCCCCACCUCACAGCCAAGUUCAAGGAAGCAGCCUGGCUAAAGCAAUGACUCAAGGAUACCAGAAGCAGAGCACGCAUUUAAGAAGAUGCGCUGACUCGCAGGAGCAGCUGACUCUUCUUAAGAAGAGUUUACUGAUUCUUCUUUCAGUACGGGCCUUUUAAUAAGAUAUUGUAUUUUACUUCAGCUAUGGGUGCAGACAAUUAAAGGAUUCUAGAAAUCUGAAAAAAAAAAAAAAAAAA
RNAcentral lists this long non-coding RNA (1503 nucleotides) under Homo sapiens (human). RNAcentral describes it as "small nucleolar RNA host gene 18 (SNHG18)". The record is from RNAcentral. Lineage: Eukaryota; Metazoa; Chordata; Mammalia; Primates; Hominidae.